AAGGACACCAUGUCAAGUCAAUGGCUUACAGUAAAGUUCCCUCGCAAAAAGCGUCAAAUACAAAAUCUUACGAAGAAUGCAAUCGACCCUGCUAAUAUAAGCAACCCAGGUAAAAACGUCAAAUUUAUGUAUACAGGAAUAGGUAAAUUCUUUAGUUCCCAUGAUUUCCUCUGAUCAAUGCUCCCCCAGUCCUAAACAAUUUGCUACUACUGUUGUUUUGCAAAAUUCUGAUAAUUUUAGAAACUCCCCAGUUAUUCAGAACUACUCUCAGACUCUUCUAAGGAUUGAUAAGCAAAAUUUUGACAGUUCCUCGAUAAACAAAUUUGACAUCUUGAAAAAUAUGG
RNAcentral lists this unclassified non-coding RNA (344 nucleotides) under Hevea brasiliensis (rubber tree). Lineage: Eukaryota; Viridiplantae; Streptophyta; Magnoliopsida; Malpighiales; Euphorbiaceae. The record is from RNAcentral.